This 460-nucleotide ribosomal RNA is filed under the name uncultured bacterium. RNAcentral's name for it is "partial 16S ribosomal RNA". It matches the Rfam family "Bacterial small subunit ribosomal RNA", at positions 338 to 795 of the family's 1533-position model. The record is from RNAcentral.
CCUACGGGUGGCAGCAGUGAGGAAUAUUGGUCAAUGGGCGCGAGCCUGAACCAGCCAAGUAGCGUGAAGGAUGAAUGCCCUACGGGUUGUAAACUUCUUUUAUAAAGGAAUAAAGUGAGGCACGUGUGCCUUUUUGUAUGUACUUUAUGAAGAAGGAUCGGCUAACUCCGUGCCAGCAGCAGCGGUAAUACGGAGGAUCCGAGCGUUAUCCGGAUUUAUUGGGUUUAAAGGGCGCGUAGAUGGGUUGUUAAGUCAGUUGUGAAAGUUUGCGGCUCAACCGUAAAAUUGCAAUUGAUACUGGCAGCCUUGAGUACAGUAGAGGUAGGCGGAAUUCGUGGUGUAGCGGUGAAAUGCUUAGAUAUCACGAAGAACUCCGAUUGCGAAGGCAGCUUACUAGACUGUAACUGACAUUGAUGCUCGAAAGUGUGGGUAUCAAACAGGAUUAGAUACCCGUGUAGUC